Molecule: long non-coding RNA, 2642 nt
Filed under: Homo sapiens (human)
Lineage: Eukaryota; Metazoa; Chordata; Mammalia; Primates; Hominidae
Description: HSALNT0048140
Source: RNAcentral
CGUUGGUACAUUUGUUACAAUGGAUGAACCUACAUUAACACCUCAUUGUCACCCAAAGUCCGUAGUUUACAUUAGUGUUGGUGUUUUACAUUCUAAGGUUUUAAACAAAUAUUAAAUGACAUGUAUCCACCGUUGUAGUGUCAUGCGGCAUAUUUCACUGCCCUAAAUUUCCUCUGUGCUCUGCCUAUUUGUUCUUCUCUAUCUCCAGUUUCUGGCAGCCAGCGAUCUUUUUACUAUCUCCACAGUUUUGCCUUAUCCAGAAUGUCAUAGAACUGGAAUCAUACAAUAUGUAGCCUUUUUAGAUUUGCUUUCAUUACUGCUUCUUUUAAAGUACAAAGUGAUCUUCUGUGUUCUUUUGUCUCUAGUGGAACUAUCUUUACUUUGACAGUGUAAACUUAGGAGAGGAUUUUUUUCUGGGCUCAGCUUAACGAAAUAUAGGAAGCGAUGUCCUUCAUAUAAGCAUUUUGUUCCAUGGUGCCAUUGAAAUGGGUGCAAUUAUAUUAUCAUGCUCUAAAAUUAGACUUACCUUGUCAGUUAGGAAACAACAUCCUGAGUGGAAGAAUCUCUAUGUGCUUGGGAUCAGAAACUCAUCGGAACUGUCUCUCCCAUGGCGAGAAGACAUGGGUCUUGGAUGUAAAUGCAUCCUGCUAAACUUAAAGUGACAGCAAAUACUUUUCUGGAAGAGCUUUUUAUGGAAGAAGGAGGUUAUAUAUCCUCUGUUACUUCAUAAAUGAUCACAGUGAUUACCCUAUGAUGCAGGAUGAGGUGAGGGAUGCCACCGUCUAGCUGAGCUUCCACAUAUUAGAGGAGAGGGGGUUUGACUGAAGUGCUUCUCUUCUCAAAGCUUUUUCUUUCUUUUUCUUUUUUUUUUUUUAAGCAUUGGCUGACAUUUUGAAUUGUGUCUCAGUGAAAACUGAGGACAAUACCUAUUAGGAGUGAUGCAAAUAAAUAUAUUUUCUUAUUUUUAUAUUUAAAAAACCCUGAAAAGUAAAAUUAGCAAAGAAAGAAACUCCUAAGACCGCCUACCUACAUUCUCCUAUCUCUGCUACAAGGACCAAGAGCUUGAUUUAGCCUCUACACACACAUGCACAUGCACACACACGAAGAACCAAGUGUGAGAAUCAAAUAUUAAACAGAACAACUUUUUUUUUUGUCACUGUCCACUCAUACAUCACAUGUGUGAAGAGCCUGAGGUCCCCAAAGACUGUGUGUGAGAUGGACAUUACAGUAUCACAUUCAAAUGGCCUUUUUCAUAGGCGAAUCUUUUUGGUUCCAGAUACUCAUUCUCUCUGCUUGGUUCACAUUCCAGUCACCAUCAUGAAUGGAUACACGUGUUCUUUGUUGUCAGUUUGACUUGCCUUCUCCUUGAAUAGUUCCUGCAGAAAUUUAGCCCCACUUUAAACAUAUCAAAUGCACCCAUUAUCUUCACAGUCGAGGGCUGUUUUUCUUUCCUGGGAAGAAGUUCUCUUGUAACAAGGGACUCUCGGCAUCAAUGAUGAAUGUUAGCGGUUUCAGACAUUGAACAAAGGGUAUGCAAAGCAAUAUUUGGUGAGAGAGAGAGGUUGAGAACAAGAGAGUGUUCCAGAGAGAGAAAGAAAGAGACAGAGGAGAGAGAAAAAUCCCUUUAUAAAGUCAUUGAAAUACAACUUCAGAUACUCUUGUGUUUCUGGGAAGCCUCUAUAUAUAAAAAGUAGCAUCCUUCCAUUAAGUUCUAAAUUAAGUUAAUAAAAACAAUUUGAAGCAGAGGGGCCAAGUCUGCUUUCUGGAGGCCACAGUGAGUUGGGCAGUGGUGAUCGUUUCCAUGAGAAAAUUAGUUGAUUGUGGGAACCUAAUGAUUUCUCUGGAUUUAUUUCUGCCUCAGUCAUAUGGUAAAUGAAAGCAUCAUGUUACUCUUCCUCUGUUGCUUUCUCUCGCUUUAAUUUUUCUUAAAAUAAAUUUCCUUUACCAUCUCGAAGUAAAACAAAAAUCUCCCAGUCUCCCUGCUGCUGGGGUCCAAAAAGCCAGUGAUGAGAUUUGUCACGGGCUGCUCAGUGCUCUUGAAUUAGAGCAAAGAUGGACCCGCUCAGGUGACUGUAAUAUAGAUAAGAGGAGGUUGCCUAGCUCAGAAAAGAAUCUGUUUUUCUUUGACUGCACCUCAGCAAAGGUCAAAUAGGAUUAAAUUUUUUAAGUUGACCAGAACAAAGAUAGAUGAGUUGAUUUUCAGUGCAAAUUUGGUUAUGUCAAACCAAGUAGCACCAGAAAUAUGAUCGAUUAACCUCUGGAGAGUCGAUGGCAUAUUUCAUUUCACUCCCUCUGGAGUCACCAUGAACACUGUGCUGUCUUUCAGGAUGAUGGAUUUACAGGGAUUUCCAAAUGUCUGUUAAUGCCCUUCACCCACUUUGCUGAGAUCAGUCAUCUGAACAAAUGGUUUGAAGAUUUUGUGUGAAGAUGCUAUAAAAAGAGUCAUUGGUUUCCCUUGUUCAUAGUAGUUAUUAUGUAUAUGGGUAGAGAGGAGGCUACAAUUUGAGAAUUAAUGUCAUUGAAAAUGAGGGCAAUAUUUGAGAGCCUUGAAUUCUCUGAAGAGUUCAAAUAAAGAUGUCUAUUUUGAAGAGUAUCUUUAUUUUCUUGUUGAAUAAAGAUCUUAAACUUUUUGUUUUUUCAAA